Molecule: long non-coding RNA, 257 nt
Filed under: Ananas comosus (pineapple)
Lineage: Eukaryota; Viridiplantae; Streptophyta; Magnoliopsida; Poales; Bromeliaceae
Description: long non-coding RNA (ACOM_LNC013394)
Source: RNAcentral
AAUUUUGGACAUAUGAUAUAUUUUGACAUGAGAUUGAUUAUAUGGACAUUUAGGAGUUAUUGUUUAGUUUCGUUUUAAUUAAUAAGUUAUUUAGUUUUUAACUGAGAUGGUGGCUUUUGGAUCAAUUUAAGGCCUUCCAUUUCGGAGGUUCUUCCUCUGAAUUCGUGGCCGGUUGUUGCGGUUCAGAUCCGAGCAGUCGGAUCUUGGGCGUGACAGACAGUGUAAGGUUUAAUAGGUUUUCUCCUAAGUUAAUUCCA